GUCCCCUUCGUCUAGUGGCCCAGGACAUCGCCCUCUCACGGCGAAAACAGGGGUUCGAGUCCCCUAGGGGACGCCA
This 76-nucleotide transfer RNA is filed under the name Hyphomicrobiales bacterium. RNAcentral's name for it is "tRNA-Glu". It matches the Rfam family "tRNA". From Rfam's summary of the family: Transfer RNA (tRNA) molecules are approximately 80 nucleotides in length. RNAcentral also lists the same sequence under 2 other names. The record is from RNAcentral. Lineage: Bacteria; Pseudomonadati; Pseudomonadota; Alphaproteobacteria; Hyphomicrobiales.